UGACAAAAUUAAGCUUGGAGACCGACAUAAAAGAUUGGACUAUGCUCCUGCCUUAUGCACUGUUUUGUACAAAAAAAUACUCCCUCUGUUUCUUUGUGUAACCUCACCCCCUAUAAAAUUCUCUAUGGUGCCCCUCCUCCAAUAAGGGACCUGACCCCAACUCUAAGACCUAACAAUUCCUUUCACACCCCCUUGCUUGACAGACUUAAAGCUCUUGAAAGAACCCAGCGAUACCUGUAGAAACAGCUGGCCACUGCCUACCAACCUGAGGACGAAAGGACUCCACACCGAUAUCAAGUGAUGUAAAAGACUUUGUCUACGUAAGACAACAUCAAGUGUCAUCCCUAGAACCCCGCUGGAAAGAACCAUACCAGGUGCUACUUAUAACACCUACAGCGGUAAAGACUAUCAAAGCCACAAACAGUCACGGCUGUGUGGGGGAAAAAACGAUUUCUUACUGUAAGUCAUAAGGAUGUAAACAUACAGGGGCUACCUGAUGGAACCCAAACCUCCACCAGUUCUCAGCAUUGCCCCCUUGCUGAAGUAACAGGUAUUGAGGUAUCUCUCCACCCAUUCACUCCUCUCUUCUCCUGUCAGUGCCCACACUGGGUCCCACCAGGUCCUCUUACUAGCUAACCCAAAGUUCAAACCAGCUGAGGAGAGCCCUCAGACCCCUAUCCAAGAUGUAAUGAAAAUGGCCUUUAAAGUUGCUUUGUCAUCACUGAAAACAGGUUACUAAAAAUUUAAAGUCCCUCA
Ictidomys tridecemlineatus (thirteen-lined ground squirrel) is the source of this 756-nucleotide non-coding RNA. The record is from RefSeq and is a predicted model, not a curated record. Lineage: Eukaryota; Metazoa; Chordata; Mammalia; Rodentia; Sciuridae.